GCAGCCACCUUUUAAAAAGCGUUAAAGCUUUCUUUUAUCUCCACUAAUUCCUCAAUUUUACCGAAACCCCCCACCCAUACUGAAUGACUUCCUAUUAUAUGAAGGACCAUAUGCUAAAACUAGUAACAAGAAGAAGAACUUCUCUAAAAUGCAAGUGUAAGUCAUAAUGAACAAUUCACUGACAAUUAACGUCUAUUGACCCAAAGUAGCAACCCCGCAAGAAAACCCUACUUAAAACAACGUCAACCUUACACCAGAGCAUUAACAGAAAGAUUUAAAGAGCCGGAAGGAACUCGGCAAAUUACUAACCCCGCCUGUUUACCAAAAACAUCCCCUCCUGAUAAACCAUAGGAGGUCCAGCCUGCCCAGUGACAAAGUUAAACGGCCGCGGUACCCUAACCGUGCAAAGGUAGCACAAUCACUUGUUCUUUAAAUGAGGACUAGUAUGAACGGCAUCACGAGGGUUAUACUGUCUCCCCCCUCUAAUCAGUGAAACUGACCCCCCCGUGAAGAAGCGGGGAUAAAAAUAUAAGACGAGAAGACCCCAUGGAGCUUUAAACUCAUUAUCACCUGCCACAUACUACAACCUCUCACCCACGCAGCCCUGAUAACUAGUUUUCGGUUGGGGUGACCGCGGAGCAAAACAAAACCUCCUCGAUGAAAGGAACUGACCUCCUAAUCCAAGAGCCACAACUCUAAGAAUCAAAUUAUUGACAAAAAUUGAUCCAAAUACUAUUGAUCAACGAACCAGGUUACCCUGGGGAUAACAGCGCAAUCCAUUUCAAGAGCUCAUAUCGACAAAUGGGUUUACGACCUCGAUGUUGGAUCAGGGUAUCCCAGUGGCGCAGCCGCUACUAAAGGUUC
This 864-nucleotide ribosomal RNA is filed under the name Microhyla arboricola (tree-dwelling narrow-mouth frog). RNAcentral's name for it is "partial large subunit ribosomal RNA". It matches the Rfam family "Bacterial large subunit ribosomal RNA", at positions 1112 to 2574 of the family's 2925-position model. The record is from RNAcentral. Lineage: Eukaryota; Metazoa; Chordata; Amphibia; Anura; Microhylidae.